Molecule: long non-coding RNA, 1556 nt
Organism: Physeter macrocephalus (sperm whale)
Lineage: Eukaryota; Metazoa; Chordata; Mammalia; Artiodactyla; Physeteridae
Exons: 2
Source: RefSeq, a predicted model, not a curated record
GUGCAGCCUUGAGGAACUGCUCCGGAAAAUUUCCACUUUCUGACCACAUCUUUUUUCCCAAUGUUAGGGAGCUUCUGUGACUUGCCCAGUGCUUUCAACCUGGAGGUAGAGGACAAAACCAACCAGCUCUGUUUGUUUGCAGCGGGAAGAAUUUCAGCACAAGGGAGUUAAGAAGCCUGUUGGCCGUGGGUCGCAAAGCCAAGCUUUCCUUCCGCACUCCUGGGUGCUCGUAGUGAUAGGAGGGAGUCUGUGCAAGCAGCGCAUGGGCGCUGGGGGGGGGACCUGGGCUGUAAGGAGGUGGAUCCACAUCCAAGAUCCUCAUAUCCCGAUGAGGUAGGAUUUAGCCAAUUUAUCCCCAUUCUACAGAUGAAGAAACUGAAUGCAGCACUCAGAGAAGGUGAUUUCCAUAAAUACUCAACAGGGGUUGUAUUGCAGAUACAUCAAUAUUUCCCAUCUCUGAGUUUGACAUGUGUGUUCAAUGGUCCAAGAAAAUCAAGGUUGGGGGUAGGGGUGAUGGUGCUAAUUUCCCAGAAGCAAUCUGACCUCUGCUCUUUGAAGUGUCACGAAAUUGGCUGGAGACUGCUCCCGUCAGCAGCACUGCACUAGGCUGCUGAAAGCACUUUUAGCACCUGAUUAAAAAGGAGCCUUAUUUUCCUGAGCAAUUACCAGCCUGCCUCUCAUGAUCUCAUCCCAAAGACAAGGAAGAAGAAUGACGGAAGGCUGGCCUCCUGAUGCUCACCCCACAGAACACUGAAUGGCCUGGCCUCACUGGUGUGUGGGAUGUACCAGGCAGGGCUUGGGCUGCGGCGGCCAGAGCUGUAGGGCAGCAAGUAGUGCUCGCCAUGGAGGUAGACUAUAUCCUUUCCAGCUCCGAUGGAGAUCCUGCUCUGGCCUGCAUCCAGCCAUGACCUGGCUCCUGGGGGAAUGAAGCGAAAGGAAGAAAGGAACUGGGCUGAUUUGAAAUCCUCCUGUGGGGAGGUCAUCCCUUUCAUUUCCCAAAACAGCUCUUCCUGGGAGCACUUUAGCCUCAAGGUAUAUUAAAGGAAACAGAGACUCCUCAGGAGAUAACUUCCUGCCCCAAACUACACAGCCAGGAGUUUAGCAAAAAAGGAUUCAAACCCAAGCAGAGCCCUAAACAGCACACUGCAUUACACCAUGUUGCCCUGUAGCAUCCCUGGGCUGCCUUUAUGAGUAGCUAGGGGCUUGUGUUCACCUGGCCUUGCUCCCUCUGGUCUCACAGUGGGUAACAGAAAGUGUGCCCCACCCUGGGCAUGGCUGAAGACUCCUGCCCCCAUUUGUCCUGUAAUUGUGUCACCCCAAGGGCACUCCACACCUGGUCUCAGUCAUAACCAGGGCUGUCUCUUAGAGCUCAUAGUAGCAAGGAGCCAUAAAAAGGAAAUACCCAGUGCUGCCAAAGAUGUGGUCAAACAGGCAUGCUUACUCAUUGCUGGUGGCAGUGGAAAGCAAUUUGGCAAGAUGUAUGCAUACAAGCCUUGAUAAUGUGAAUCUCUUUGGUCCACUAAUCACACAUAUGCAAAUAUAUCUUUUUUUAACAU